RNAcentral lists this transfer RNA (74 nucleotides) under Bacteroidota bacterium. Its description in RNAcentral is "tRNA-Arg". It matches the Rfam family "tRNA". Rfam says of the family: Transfer RNA (tRNA) molecules are approximately 80 nucleotides in length. Their secondary structure includes four short double-helical elements and three loops (D, anti-codon, and T loops). RNAcentral also lists the same sequence under 2 other names. The record is from RNAcentral. Lineage: Bacteria; Pseudomonadati; Bacteroidota.
GGCCCCGUAGCUCAAUUGGAUAGAGCAACAGCCUUCUAAGCUGUAGGUUCCGCGUUCAAGUCGCGGCGGGGUCA